This 133-nucleotide ribosomal RNA is filed under the name uncultured bacterium. RNAcentral describes it as "partial 16S ribosomal RNA". The record is from RNAcentral.
CGCUACUAUCAGACCAAUAGAUUAUUCACCUAUUGGCUUUGCUCACGAAUGACAGGGGUUUACAAGCCGAAGCCCGUCAUCCCCCACGCGGCGUCGCUCCAUCAGGGUUGCCCCCAUUGUGAAAGAUUCUCGA